GUGAAUCAUCAAAUCUUUGAACGCAAAUUGCGCCUUUUUCGGAAGGCAUGUCUGUUUGAGGUCACCAUUUAACAAAUAAUGUACAUUUCGUGUGCACACUUUUAUGAGCUUUCCAAAUUUAUGUAUUAUUUUUGGUGGCGCAUAAUAAACAGCGCGAUGCUUUUUUUCAUUUCGUGUGUAGUAAAAUUUUUUCUUGCUUUUGUUGUGAAUAUCGUGAUCGCGCAAUGGAUGUGGCAAUUUUAGUUAAUCUCUGCCCCAACGCCACUCUUUCUCACGAUAGAUU
This 283-nucleotide unclassified non-coding RNA is filed under the name Paraglomus occultum. RNAcentral describes it as "partial contains 5.8S ribosomal RNA and internal transcribed spacer 2". The stretch from base 1 to 64 matches the Rfam family "5.8S ribosomal RNA", at positions 84 to 154 of the family's 154-position model. Lineage: Eukaryota; Fungi; Glomeromycota; Glomeromycetes; Paraglomerales; Paraglomeraceae. The record is from RNAcentral.